This 256-nucleotide ribosomal RNA is filed under the name uncultured bacterium. RNAcentral's name for it is "partial small subunit ribosomal RNA". It matches the Rfam family "Bacterial small subunit ribosomal RNA", at positions 26 to 286 of the family's 1533-position model. The record is from RNAcentral.
AGGACGAACGCUGGCGGCGUGCUUAACACAUGCAAGUCGAACGGUGAAGUCCCUUCGGGGGCGGAUCAGUGGCGAACGGGUGAGUAACACGUGGGCAACCUGCCCCUAGCUCUGGGAUAACCCCGGGAAACCGGGGCUAAUACCGGAUAUGACCCUGAUAGACAUCUAUCAGGGUGGAAAGUUUUUCGGCUAGGGAUGGCCCGCGGCCUAUCAGCUUGUUGGUGAGGUAACGGCCCACCAAGGCGACGACGGGUAG